GACGAACGCUGGCGGCGUGCUUAACACAUGCAAGUCGAACGGAAAGGCCCUGCUUUUGUGGGGUGCUCGAGUGGCGAAGGGGUGAGUAACGCGUGAGUAACCUGCCCUUGACUUUGGGAUAACUUCAGGAAACUGGGGCUAAUACCGGAUAGGAGCUCCUGCUGCAUGGUGGGGGUUGGAAAGUUUCGGCGGUUGGGGAUGGACUCGCGGCUUAUCAGCUUGUUGGUGGGGUAGUGGCUUACCAAGGCUUUGACGGGUAGCCGGCCUGGGAGGGUGACCGGCCACAUUGGGACUGAGAUACGGCCCAGACUCCUACGGGAGGCAGCAGUGGGGAAUAUUGCACAAUGGGCGGAAGCCUGAUGCAGCAACGCCGCGUGCGGGAUGACGGCCUUCGGGUUGUAAACCGCUUUCGCCUGUGACGAAGCGUAAGUGACGGUAAUGGGUAAAGAAGCACCGGCUAACUACGUG
RNAcentral lists this ribosomal RNA (468 nucleotides) under uncultured bacterium. RNAcentral's name for it is "partial 16S ribosomal RNA". It matches the Rfam family "Bacterial small subunit ribosomal RNA", at positions 28 to 507 of the family's 1533-position model. The record is from RNAcentral.